CUUCUCGGUAGUGGUUAUGGGGGUUGGAGGAGAAAAAUAAUUGUCGCAUUAUCUGCAAACAACAAAAUCGGAUUUGUUGACGGCUCAUGUCCUCGACCAACCACUAAUGUGGCUCAACAAAGGCUGUGGGAUAGAUGUAAUAACAUGGUCAUUUCCUGGUUGACCUCUUCCCUAUCUCCUCAAAUUGCUGAUAGUGUGCACUAUUCCGAUACUGCACAGAGUAUAUGGUCCCAAUAUUUUUGAAUUAAAAAGGGAACUUUCCCACACAUCUCAAGGCUGCUUAGACGUAGCCUCAUACGUUAACAAGCUCAAAGGCCUGUGGGAUGAGUUGGGCACAAUGUGUACAAAUCAUGGGCAGAGAUGUGUGUGUGCUGCUAAAAAAGGAAUAAUUCAGGAAGAUGAUGAAAACAAAGUAUUCCAGUUUCUUAUGGGGUUAAAUGAAGCAUACAUGGGGGUUAGGAGUAAUCUGUUGAUGGUGCACAAAUCAUGGGCAGAGAUGUGUGUGUGCUGCUAAAAAUAGAAUAAUUCAGGAAGAUGAUGAAAACAAGGUAUUCCAGUUUAUUAUGGGGUUAAAUGAAGCGUACAUGGGGGUUAGGUGUAACUUGUUGAUGAUGCAGCCAUUUCCUUCCCUUGACAGUGUUUACAAUGUAGUGCUUAAUGAUGAGAAACAGAGACAAGUUCAAUCUAUUUCUCAAAUCAGUCCAGACUCUAUGUCCUUUAAUGCUAAUGCAAAUAAGCACUCAGUUGGGUUUAAUCAGGCCACAGUGCCUAGUCCCCCUAUUUGCAGACCCAAAGUUAAUUUUGAGCAAAGUAGAGGGCCCUUAUUUUGCAGAUACUGCAAGAAAUCUGGGCACUUAAUUGAUAAGUGC
RNAcentral lists this long non-coding RNA (869 nucleotides) under Nicotiana benthamiana. RNAcentral's name for it is "long non-coding RNA (NBEN_LNC028702)". Lineage: Eukaryota; Viridiplantae; Streptophyta; Magnoliopsida; Solanales; Solanaceae. The record is from RNAcentral.